This 497-nucleotide ribosomal RNA is filed under the name uncultured bacterium. Its description in RNAcentral is "partial 16S ribosomal RNA". It matches the Rfam family "Bacterial small subunit ribosomal RNA", at positions 28 to 507 of the family's 1533-position model. The record is from RNAcentral.
GAUGAACGCUGGCGGCGUGCCUAAUACAUGCAAGUCGAGCGAUCGGACGAGAAGCUUGCUUUUCUGAUGUUAGCGGCGGACGGGUGAGUAACACGUGGAUAACCUACCUAUAAGACUGGGAUAACUUCGGGAAACCGGAGCUAAUACCGGUUAAUAUUUUGAACCGCAUGGUUCAAAAGUGAAAGACGGUCUUGCUGUCACUUAUAGAUGGAUCCGCGCUGCAUUAGCUAGUUGGUAAGGUAACGGCUUACCAAGGCAACGAUGCAUAGCCGACCUGAGAGGGUGAUCGGCCACACUGGAACUGAGACACGGUCCAGACUCCUACGGGAGGCAGCAGCAGGGAAUCUUCCGCAAUGGGCGAAAGCCUGACGGAGCAACGCCGCGUGAGUGAUGAAGGUCUUCGGAUCGUAAAACUCUGUUAUUAGGGAAGAACAUAUGUGUAAGUAACUGUGCACAUCUUGACGGUACCUAAUCAGAAAGCCACGGCUAACUACGUG